AGCAACCCGCUCGGGUCCCUUUCCAUGCUGUGGAAGCUCUGUUCUUUUGCUCUUCGCAAUAAAUCUUGCUGCUGCUCACUCUUUGGGUUUACACUACCUUUAUGAGCUGUAACACUCACCGCGAAGGUCUGCAGCUUCACUCCAAGCCAGCGAGACCAGGAACGCACCAGGAGGAACAAACAACUCCAGACAUGCCACCUUUAAGAGCUGUAACACUCACUGCAAAGGUCUGUGGCUUCACUCCUAAAGUCAGUGAGACCACGAACCCAACGAAAGAAACUCCGGACACAUCUGAAUAUCUGAAGGAACAAACUCCAGACACACCAUCUUUAAGAACUGUAACACUCACCGCAAGGGUCUGCAGCUUCAUUCUUGAAGUCAGCGAAACCAAGAACCCACCAGAAGGAACCAAUUCUGGACACAUUUUGGUGACCACGAAGGGACUAUUACCUAUCACUAAGCGAAUCAAGGCCAUCAAACUACAGAUGGUCUUACAAACGGAAACCCAAAUGAGCUCAACUAACAACUUCUACCGAGGACCCCUGGACCGACCCACUGGCCCUUUCACUGGCCUAGAGAGUUCCCCUCUGGAGGACACUACAACUGCAGGGCCCCUUCUUUGCCCCUGUCCAGCAGGAAGUAGCUAGAGCAGUCAUUGCCCAAUUCCCAACAGCAGAUGGGGUGCCCUGUUUAGAGGCGGGAUUGAGAGGUGAAGCCCCUGGACUUCCUGGGUCCAGUGGGGACUUGGAGAACUUUUCUGUCUAGCUAAAGAUUUGUAAAUGCACCAAUCAGCACUCUGUAAAAACGCACCAAUCAGUGCUCUGUGUCUAGCUAAAGGUUUGUAAAUGCACCAAUCAGUACUAUGUAAAAACGCACCAAUCAGUGCUCUGUCUAGCUAAAGAUUUGUAAACGCACCAAUCCGCACUCUGUAAAAAUGGACCAAUCAGCACUCUGCAAAAUGGACCAAUCAGCAGGACAUGGGCAGGGCCAAAUAAGGGAAUAAAAGCUGGCCACCCAGCCACCAGCACCCAACCUGCUCUGAUCCCCUUCCGCUGUGGGAGGUUUGUUCUUUUGCUCUUUGCAAUAAAUCUUGCUGCUGCUCACUCCUUGGGUCCGCACUACCUUUAUAAGCUGUAACACUGACCACAAAUGUCUGCAGCUUCGCUCCUGAAGCCAGCGAGACCACAAACCCACCAAGAGGAACAAACAACUCCUGACGCACCACCUUUAAGAGCUGUAACACUCACUGCGAAGGUCUGCGGCUUCAAUCCUGAAGUCAGCGAGACCACGAACCUACCAGAAGGAAGAAACUCCAGACACAUCUGAACAUCUGAAGGAAGAAACUGGACACACCAUCUUUAAGAACUGUAACACUCACUUCGAGGGUCCGCGGCUUUAUUCUUAAAGUCAGCGAGACCAAGAACCCACUGGAAGGAACCAAUUCUGGACACACCAGGAGCUGGAGACGAGCCUGGGUGUGCAACACAGAGAGACAAGACCCCCAUCUGUACCAAAAAUAAAUAAAAAUAGGAAGACUGGAUCAUAUUAAGUCUGUUCUCCAAGAAAACCAAAUUAAACGGCUGUGGAGAUGUA
This is a long non-coding RNA of Homo sapiens (human), 1593 nucleotides long. RefSeq lists it as uncharacterized. The record is from RefSeq and is a predicted model, not a curated record. The transcript is spliced from 2 exons. Lineage: Eukaryota; Metazoa; Chordata; Mammalia; Primates; Hominidae.